This is a long non-coding RNA of Bufo bufo (common toad), 263 nucleotides long. RefSeq lists it as uncharacterized. NCBI's taxonomy places the organism in Eukaryota, Metazoa, Chordata, Amphibia, Anura, Bufonidae. The transcript has 3 exons. The record is from RefSeq and is a predicted model, not a curated record.
UAUGACCUAUAAUAGGAUGGCUCCUCUUCCCUCUAGUCAUCAGAAGAUAAGUCAGGUCUAUCUAUGACCUAUAAUAAGAUGGCGUCUCUUCCUUCCAGUCAUCAGAAGAUAAGUCAGGUCUAUCUAUGACCUAUAAUAAGAUGGCUCCUCUUCCUUCCAGGAAAAUAAUACAAGGGGAGGAGUUACCUUUCCUGCGUCUCCGCCUCUUCUUCCUGGACUCCACCUGAAGCUCGGAGCACCUCUUCUGAAGAGCCAGGAAUUUC